CCUACGGGUGACAGCAGUGGGGAAUAUUGCACAAUGGGGGAAACCCUGAUGCAGCGACGCCGCGUGAGCGAUGAAGUAUUUCUGUAUGUAAAGCUCUAUCAGCAGGGAAGAAAAUGACUGUACCUGUCUAUGAAGCCCCGUCUAACUACGUGCCAGCGGCCGCGGUAACACGUAGGCGGCAAGCGUUAUCCGGAUUUACUGGGUGUAAUGGGAGCGUAGACGGUCUUGCAAGUCAGAGGUGAAAGCCCGGGGCUCAACCCCGGGACUGCAGUUGGAACUGUAAGGCUAGAGUGUCGGCGAGGCAGGCGGAAUGCCUGGUGUAGCGGUGAAAUGCGUAGAUAUUAGGCGGAACACCAGUGGCGAAGGCAGCCUGCUGGACGAUGACUGACGUUGAGGCUCGAAAGCGUGGGGAGCAAACAGGAUUAGAUACCCCAGUAGUC
Molecule: ribosomal RNA, 440 nt
Filed under: uncultured bacterium
Lineage: Bacteria
Description: partial 16S ribosomal RNA
Rfam family: Bacterial small subunit ribosomal RNA
Source: RNAcentral